This 497-nucleotide ribosomal RNA is filed under the name uncultured bacterium. RNAcentral describes it as "partial 16S ribosomal RNA". It matches the Rfam family "Bacterial small subunit ribosomal RNA", at positions 28 to 507 of the family's 1533-position model. The record is from RNAcentral.
GAUGAACGCUGGCGGCGUGCCUAAUACAUGCAAGUCGAGCGAACAGAUAAGGAGCUUGCUCCUUUGACGUUAGCGGCGGACGGGUGAGUAACACGUGGGUAACCUACCUAUAAGACUGGAAUAACUCCGGGAAACCGGGGCUAAUGCCGGAUAACAUUUAGAACCGCAUGGUUCUAAAGUGAAAGAUGGUUUUGCUAUCACUUAUAGAUGGACCCGCGCCGUAUUAGCUAGUUGGUAAGGUAACGGCUUACCAAGGCAACGAUACGUAGCCGACCUGAGAGGGUGAUCGGCCACACUGGAACUGAGACACGGUCCAGACUCCUACGGGCGGCAGCAGUAGGGAAUCUUCCGCAAUGGGCGAAAGCCUGACGGAGCAACGCCGCGUGAGUGAUGAAGGUCUUCGGAUCGUAAAACUCUGUUAUUAGGGAAGAACAAAUGUGUAAGUAACUGUGCACGUCUUGACGGUACCUAAUCAGAAAGCCACGGCUAACUACGUG